GACCGCGUAGCUCAGUUGGCAGAGCAUUGGGCUAGAAUUCCAAAAGUCAUAGGUUCGAUUCCCACUGUGGUCA
RNAcentral lists this transfer RNA (73 nucleotides) under Paramuricea clavata. It matches the Rfam family "tRNA". Rfam says of the family: Transfer RNA (tRNA) molecules are approximately 80 nucleotides in length. Their secondary structure includes four short double-helical elements and three loops (D, anti-codon, and T loops). Further hydrogen bonds mediate the characteristic L-shaped molecular structure. tRNAs have two regions of fundamental functional importance: the anti-codon, which is responsible for specific mRNA codon recognition, and the 3' end, to which the tRNAs corresponding amino acid is attached (by aminoacyl-tRNA synthetases). tRNAs cope with the degeneracy of the genetic code in two manners: having more than one tRNA (with a specific anti-codon) for a particular amino acid; and 'wobble' base-pairing, i.e. permitting non-standard base-pairing at the 3rd anti-codon position. Lineage: Eukaryota; Metazoa; Cnidaria; Anthozoa; Malacalcyonacea; Plexauridae. The record is from Rfam by way of RNAcentral.